Molecule: long non-coding RNA, 1747 nt
Organism: Apus apus (common swift)
Lineage: Eukaryota; Metazoa; Chordata; Aves; Apodiformes; Apodidae
Exons: 3
Source: RefSeq, a predicted model, not a curated record
CGCCGCCCGGGGCGGGGGGUGGGGUGCGGGCCCCGGAGGGGCGGCCGGGGCGGGCGGCUGCGGGGCUGCGGGGCUGCGGGGUCAGCGCCGGCCGCCCUGCCCUCCCGGCCCGGGCCCCGCCGGUGCCUGGGCAGGUCGCAGCCGGCCUGCUCGGGGAGACUGCGGGGAGGCCCCGGGCCGUGUGCCCCCCGGGCCUUGUGCCCCCCCGGGCCGUGUGCCCCCCCAGGCCGUGUGCCCCCCGGGCCGUGUGCCCCCCGGGCCGUGCCCGCGCCUGGCAGGCCUGGGUCGAUGGCUGGUGCCGUGGGAAGGCGGGCGGUGGGCACGCACAGUGUGUGGCGAGGGCCCGUCCCUCUGUCCUGUCUGGGUGGGACUGGUUGUCCCCCAGUAAGUCUGUACCGGCUGCAAACACAGAAGGGUGUCUUGGCUCGUGUUAAAACAGGCCUGUGUAAGGCCCAGAACAACUGCACAAACACGGGACCCCCUACAGCAUCUCCCGCCACCUGCUUCUGUGAUUCCUUAGCCUGUCGACUCACAUGCUGUUCUGGAAGCUAAGAAAAGCGCCUGCCACGCUGAAAAUGCUCCUGGUUUGGGUUUAAUGUUGGGUGAAGUUCAUCCAAAACAGUUCCAUGCUGAGAAUGUUUCUGACUUCUUUAUUUUUUUGCUUUUCGGUGUCAGGUGGUGAAAUGAGAGCCCUCCACAAACAGCCAGCGGCCGUGGAGGUGACCGGGCGGAGGAGGACUAUGGUGAUUUCCUGAAGCAGUAUGUUUUGUUUUAAAAAAAGGAGAACCACUCAAUGAAGAUGCAUCCUGUUGUUGCUCAGGGGGAUUUGAAGACAGGACAAGGAUUCUCUUUGAAAUAUGCACCAACAGGACAAGAGACAAAAUUCAGAAGUUGCACUUGGAGAAAAUCCAACUGUGUGUAAGAAAACAAAUGUUCCGUGUAAGGGUGGUCAAGUACAGGAACAUUUUCCCAGAAUGGCUGUGGACUUUCCAUCCAUGGAGAUACAACUAGACUGGAGAAGGCUUUGGGCCACCUAGGCUACCUUUGAAGAUAGCCCUGUUUGGAGCAGGAGGUUCAACCUGCAAAGAAUCUUUCCUAACUUUAAUUUUGCUGUGGUUUUAAAUACACUUCCUAGAAGAAUCCCUGUGGCAUGGGUGGAACAAUACCAGGCUAUAUUGCAAUGAGCUCUUAUACCUGAAACUAAAACUUCAAGACUGGGCAUGUAGACUGUAGUAUCUCAUAUCCACUCCGGAAUGGGCAGAGAGGGGAAAUUGUUACAUAAUCACCAGCAGAUUAUAUAAUAACAUUAAGAUUGUGAUUAGCUUCUUGAAGCCCUGGGAUCGCUUAGUAAUUUAUUUAUUUUUUUUCCCCUUGUUAAUCAGAAAUAUAUGGUUUUCUCAAGUCCAUAUUUAAAAAAGCAAGUGAACUGCCAGACCCUUGUUACUUGCUUUGGAGAAGAGAUGUCACCGUUUGACUCAGGUCCAACAACAGUGCUCUCGAUCCCCUCCCCCUCCCACCCAGGUAGGGAAGGAGAGAGAGAAAAAGAGAGAGACUUGGCUGGAUUGAAAACUAAACUACACAGCUUUAAUUAAACACUAAUGAUAUAAGAAAAUAUAUACAAUUAUAUACAAAUAUGUUCAUGUAUGAGCAAAAGCCUCUCACCUCCCCCCCACCCCCAGAAACUCCCACAACGCUCCCCUGAGCUGGAGCAGUCCUGAGAAAUCCCAGAGCUGCUGCUGGAGAAAGU